This 832-nucleotide ribosomal RNA is filed under the name Staphylococcus aureus. RNAcentral describes it as "partial 23S ribosomal RNA". It matches the Rfam family "Bacterial large subunit ribosomal RNA", at positions 1394 to 2221 of the family's 2925-position model. The record is from RNAcentral. Lineage: Bacteria; Bacillati; Bacillota; Bacilli; Caryophanales; Staphylococcaceae.
AGCUGAGGCCGACAGGCGUAGGCGAUGGAUAACAGGUUGAUAUUCCUGUACCACCUAUAAUCGUUUUAAUCGAUGGGGGGACGCAGUAGGAUAGGCGAAGCGUGCGAUUGGAUUGCACGUCUAAGCAGUAAGGCUGAGUAUUAGGCAAAUCCGGUACUCAUUAAGGCUGAGCUGUGAUGGGGAGAAGACAUUGUGUCUUCGAGUCGUUGAUUUCACACUGCCGAGAAAAGCCUCUAGAUAGAAAAUAGGUGCCCGUACCGCAAACCGACACAGGUAGUCAAGAUGAGAAUUCUAAGGUGAGCGAGCGAACUCUCGUUAAGGAACUCGGCAAAAUGACCCCGUAACUUCGGGAGAAGGGGUGCUCUUUAGGGUUAACGCCCAGAAGAGCCGCAGUGAAUAGGCCCAAGCGACUGUUUAUCAAAAACACAGGUCUCUGCUAAACCGUAAGGUGAUGUAUAGGGGCUGACGCCUGCCCGGUGCUGGAAGGUUAAGAGGAGUGGUUAGCUUCUGCGAAGCUACGAAUCGAAGCCCCAGUAAACGGCGGCCGUAACUAUAACGGUCCUAAGGUAGCGAAAUUCCUUGUCGGGUAAGUUCCGACCCGCACGAAAGGCGUAACGAUUUGGGCACUGUCUCAACGAGAGACUCGGUGAAAUCAUAGUACCUGUGAAGAUGCAGGUUACCCGCGACAGGACGGAAAGACCCCGUGGAGCUUUACUGUAGCCUGAUAUUGAAAUUCGGCACAGCUUGUACAGGAUAGGUAGGAGCCUUUGAAACGUGAGCGCUAGCUUACGUGGAGGCGCUGGUGGGAUACUACCCUAGCUGUGUUGGCUUU